This is a long non-coding RNA of Penaeus chinensis, 337 nucleotides long. RefSeq lists it as uncharacterized. The record is from RefSeq and is a predicted model, not a curated record. NCBI's taxonomy places the organism in Eukaryota, Metazoa, Arthropoda, Malacostraca, Decapoda, Penaeidae. The transcript is spliced from 3 exons.
CACAGUACAGUCUGUGGCAGUGAUGAGAGGAGAGCGUCUGUCGUGUGGAGAGCGAGAUGUAAUGAGCCACUUUCAUCUCGGAAUCCGUAUGGUGUCACGUGGAGGAAGCCGUCAUGUUGGUUCAGAUGUUUGGGCGGUUAAACUCUGCGGUCGGGUGGAUCUCGGCAGUCUGCGCGGUGAGCACGAUGGCGCUCGGUCGCAAUGGCGCUUCGAACGAGGGGAUUCAAAACGGGAAUUCCUGUGACGUCAGGGGCAUUCAGAUACGUGACCGGGAACCUUCGACGACCAAGGUGACCUUUGAGCUUGACCUCCGUGACCCGGGAAGGUGCAAGAGAGG